UUUGCGGUACUUCUGACCGUGCAAAGGUAGCAUAAUCAUUUGCCUUAUAAUUGAAGGCUUGUAUGAAUGGUUUGACAAGAAUAGAUCUGUCUCUUUACAAUUAACUAAAAUUUUAUUUAUGGGUGAAGAAGCCUGUAUUAAAUUGAAAGACAAGAAGACCCUAUCGAGCUUUAAAACAAUUAAUAAACCUAAAAUCAUAUACAUACUGAAUUAGUUAUUAAAAAUUUUAGUUGGGGCGACUAAGGAACAAACAAAGCUUCCUUGAAAUUUUAAUACCUACAAGUUGUGAUCCAAAUGCUUUGAUUAAAGAAAUUAGUUACCGUAGGGAUAACAGCAUUAUCUUUUUUAAGAGCUCAAAUCGAAAAAAAGGUUUGUGACCUCGAUGUUGGACCAGAAUGUCCUAAAGAUGUAGCCGUCUUUAAGGGUUGGUCUGUUCGACCAUUAAAAGUCUACGUGA
This 457-nucleotide ribosomal RNA is filed under the name Coralliophila squamulosa. RNAcentral's name for it is "partial 16S ribosomal RNA". It matches the Rfam family "Bacterial large subunit ribosomal RNA", at positions 1930 to 2603 of the family's 2925-position model. Lineage: Eukaryota; Metazoa; Mollusca; Gastropoda; Neogastropoda; Muricidae. The record is from RNAcentral.